GACAGAGGGUGCAAACGUUGUUCGGAAUUACUGGGCGUAAAGGGCUCGUAGGCGGCCAGCUAAGUCAGACGUGAAAUCCCUCGGCUUAACCGGGGAACUGCAUCUGAUACUGGAUGGCUUGAGUUUGGGAGAGGGAUGCGGAAUUCCAGGUGUAGCGGUGAAAUGCGUAGAUAUCUGGAGGAACACCGGUGGCGAAGGCGGCAUCCUGGACCAACACUGACGCUGAGGAGCGAAAGCCAGGGGAGCAAACGGG
Molecule: ribosomal RNA, 253 nt
Filed under: uncultured bacterium
Lineage: Bacteria
Description: partial 16S ribosomal RNA
Rfam family: Bacterial small subunit ribosomal RNA
Source: RNAcentral